CAGAAAAAAAUUAUGAGACUUUGGCCUUGAAAGUCUCAUAGUGAGUGCCUGUCAUGUUAUAACAGGGCAAAAAGUGGCUGCUCUCCUCUACAUUCGGUGGCCUUGGGAACACCAAAGAUGUGGCCUUGGCAACACUUGCACAUCGAGGUCAAGAGGCCAGGAAGGGCAUCCUGCCUUCUAACUCCUUUGAAGUUUACUCAAAAUUCUCAUCCUGAACUGGACUUUUGGACUCAACAACAAAAGGGAUGACGCUGUGUUUCAGAGGAAUUCAUAAGCAGAAUUGAAUUUGUUUUAGUUAACUCCUUAUUUGAUUGGAAUAUUGUCGACUUAACAAAAUAGUAGAAAGAGCAUUGGGCUGAAGUGAGAAGAUUUGAAUUCUAGUCCAAAAUCUGUUACUAACCAGCUCUUU
Molecule: long non-coding RNA, 409 nt
Filed under: Homo sapiens (human)
Lineage: Eukaryota; Metazoa; Chordata; Mammalia; Primates; Hominidae
Description: HSALNT0088190
Source: RNAcentral